AUUGAACGCUGGCGGCAGGCCUAACACAUGCAAGUCGAGCGGCAGCACGGGUACUUGUACCUGGUGGCGAGCGGCGGACGGGUGAGUAAUGCCUAGGAAUCUGCCUGGUAGUGGGGGAUAACGCUCGGAAACGGACGCUAAUACCGCAUACGUCCUACGGGAGAAAGCAGGGGACCUUCGGGCCUUGCGCUAUCAGAUGAGCCUAGGUCGGAUUAGCUAGUUGGUGAGGUAAUGGCUCACCAAGGCGACGAUCCGUAACUGGUCUGAGAGGAUGAUCAGUCACACUGGAANUGAGACACGGUCCAGACUCCUACGGGAGGCAGCAGUGGGGAAUAUUGGACAAUNGGCGAAAGCCUGAUCCAGCCAUGCCGCGUGUGUGAAGAAGGUCUUCGGAUUGUAAAGCACUUUAAGUUGGGAGGAAGGGCAUUUACCUAAUACGUAAGUGUUUUGACGUUACCGACAGAAUAAGCACCGGC
RNAcentral lists this ribosomal RNA (476 nucleotides) under Pseudomonas sp. NN018614. RNAcentral's name for it is "bacterial SSU rRNA". It matches the Rfam family "Bacterial small subunit ribosomal RNA", at positions 30 to 497 of the family's 1533-position model. Lineage: Bacteria; Pseudomonadati; Pseudomonadota; Gammaproteobacteria; Pseudomonadales; Pseudomonadaceae. The record is from RNAcentral.